UCCGUAGGCGGGCAAUUAAGUCAGAGGUGAAAUCCUGCAGCUUAACUGUAGAACUGCCUUUGAUACUGUUGAUCUUGAGUCAUUAUGAAGUGGUUAGAAUGUGUAGUGUAGCGGUGAAAUGCAUAGAUAUUACACAGAAUACCGAUUGCGAAGGCAGAUCACUAAUAAUGUACUGACACUGAGGGACGAAAGCGUGGGGAGCGAACAGGAUUAGAUACCCUGGUAGUCC
Molecule: ribosomal RNA, 229 nt
Filed under: uncultured bacterium
Lineage: Bacteria
Description: partial 16S ribosomal RNA
Rfam family: Bacterial small subunit ribosomal RNA
Source: RNAcentral